This 616-nucleotide ribosomal RNA is filed under the name Tricholomopsis decora. RNAcentral's name for it is "eukaryotic LSU rRNA". It matches the Rfam family "Eukaryotic large subunit ribosomal RNA", at positions 1 to 625 of the family's 3401-position model. The record is from RNAcentral. Lineage: Eukaryota; Fungi; Basidiomycota; Agaricomycetes; Agaricales.
UGACCUCAAAUCAGGUAAGACUACCCGCUGAACUUAAGCAUAUCAGUAAGCGGAGGAAAAGAAACUAACAAGGAUUCCCCUAGUAACUGCGAGUGAAGCGGGAAAAGCUCAAAUUUAAAAUCUGGCAGUCAUUGACUGUCCGAGUUGUAAUUUAGAGAAGCAAUGCCGGCGCUGGACUGUGUACAAGUCUCCUGGAAUGGAGCGUCAUAGAGGGUGAGAAUCCCGUAUAUGACACAGUUGCCAGGGCACAGUGGGAUGCUCUCAAAGAGUCGAGUUGUUUGGGAAUGCAGCUCAAAAUGGGUGGUAAAUUCCAUCUAAAGCUAAAUACAGGCGAGAGACCGAUAGCGAACAAGUACCGUGAGGGAAAGAUGAAAAGAACUUUGGAAAGAGAGUUAAACAGUACGUGAAAUUGUUGAAAGGGAAACGCUUGAAGUCAGUCGUGUUGCUGGAAAUCACACUUGCUCUUUUGCUUGUGGCUCUUUCCUUUUGCAAUGGGUCAGCAUCAGUUUUGAUUGUUGGAUAAAAGUCAGAGGAAUGUGGCAUCCUUGGAUGUGUUAUAGCCUUUGAUUGUAUGCAAUGAUGGAGACUGAGGAACUCGGCACUUGUGCCUAGGAUG